Molecule: long non-coding RNA, 479 nt
Organism: Dreissena polymorpha
Lineage: Eukaryota; Metazoa; Mollusca; Bivalvia; Myida; Dreissenidae
Exons: 4
Source: RefSeq, a predicted model, not a curated record
UCCAACACCACUAUUCCUGUGCAGUAGAGUUACUCCCCUUUACGCGGAAUUAUUACAUUGUUGUUACGGUGAAUUCGGGAGCGAUCUUUUGAGCAGUUUUACGGAUAUCGGUACGAUAAACACAGUAUUUGUUUGGCAGGAAGAGAAAUUGUCUCAUCUGGUAUCGAUGCAGAGAACAUGACUGACAAAGAUCUAUUUGACAGUGAUUAUGAUGGGGGUUCACAAAUACAUGAGCACAGUUACACUGUGAAUUCCUGGUGCUGCCAUUCCUAAUCAACCGACAUAUCAGAAUUCUGGAUAAGAAUUCAGAUUACUGGCUGCAUAUUCAACCGAAUUUUUGGGUCCUGCAUUGGUGGGGGGUAACGUGUUUCAGGCCAGAAUCCUGCCGGACCAUCCAAUUGCAAGGACAUCUAACAUAGCUGAAAUGUAUCUGUAAUGAAUUAUUAAAAGUUUGGAUAAAAAAUGUGUUCUUAAAUCAU